Molecule: RNase P RNA, 397 nt
Filed under: Deltaproteobacteria bacterium
Lineage: Bacteria; Pseudomonadati; Myxococcota; Myxococcia
Description: RNase P RNA component class A
Rfam family: Bacterial RNase P class A
About the family: Ribonuclease P (RNase P) is a ubiquitous endoribonuclease, found in archaea, bacteria and eukarya as well as chloroplasts and mitochondria. Its best characterised activity is the generation of mature 5'-ends of tRNAs by cleaving the 5'-leader elements of precursor-tRNAs.
Source: RNAcentral
AGGGCCGUCUAGACGAUCGCCGGGUCGAGGGAUGUGAUUUGUCGCGAGAUCCGGAGGAAAGUCCGAACACCACAGGGCAGGGUGCUCCAUAACGUGGAGUCGCGGCAACGCGAAGGAAAGUGCAACAGAAAGCAUACCGCCACGCGCUCAUUGAAUGGGUGCAGGUAAGGGUGAAAAGGUGCGGUAAGAGCGCACCAGUUCUCCGGGUGACCGGGGAAGCUUUGUAAACCCCACCCGGUGCAAGACCAAAUAGGGGAGUGCUCGAGGGUGGCCCGCCCAAGCUCCCGGGUAGGUCGCAAGAGACGCCGGGCAACCGGCGUUCAUAGAUGAAUGAUCGUCAGAUGGUUUGGGGUAACCCAAACCGGAAACAGAAUUCGGCUUACGGACUGCCCUGGCC